Molecule: ribosomal RNA, 762 nt
Filed under: uncultured Thermoanaerobacterales bacterium
Lineage: Bacteria; Bacillati; Bacillota; Clostridia; Thermoanaerobacterales
Description: bacterial SSU rRNA
Rfam family: Bacterial small subunit ribosomal RNA
Source: RNAcentral
UCGAACGAUGAAAGUCGUUUUGAUAUCUUCGGAUUGAUAAACUUCUGGAUUAGUGGCGGACGGGUGAGUAACGCGUGAGCAAUCUGCCUUACACAAAGGGAUACCUCGUGAAAACGGGAUUAAUACCAUAUGAUAUCACAUCUUCGCAUGAAGAAGUGAUUAAAGAAUUUCGGUGUAAGAUGAGCUCGCGUCCCAUUAAUUAGUUGGUGAGGGUAACGGCCCACCAAGAUAGCGAUGGGUAGCCGAUCUAAGAGGAUGACCGGCCACAUUGGAACUGAGAAACGGUCCAAACUCCUACGGGAGGCAGCAGUGGGGAAUAUUGCACAAUGGGGGGAGCCCUGAUGCAGCGACGCCGCGUGAGCGAUGAAGGCUUUCGAGUCGUAAAGCUCUGUCCUAUGGGAAGAUAAUGACGGUACCAUAGAAGAAAGCCCCGGCUAAUUACGUGCCAGCAGCCGCGGUAAUACGUAAGGGGCGAGCGUUGUCCGGAAUUAUUGGGCGUAAAGAGUGCGUAGGCGGCAAAUUAAGUCAGAUGUGAAAACUAAGGGCUCAACCCAUAGAUUGCAUCUGAAACUGAUAUGCUUGAGUCAAGGAGAGGAAAGUGGAAUUCCUAGUGUAGCGGUGGAAUGCGUAGAUAUUAGGAGGAAUACCGGUGGCGAAGGCGACUUUCUGGACUUGUACUGACGCUGAGGCACGAAAGCGUGGGGAGCAAACAGGAUUAGAUACCCUGGUAGUCCACGCCGUAAACGAUGAGUGCUAGGUGUC